Molecule: ribosomal RNA, 253 nt
Filed under: uncultured bacterium
Lineage: Bacteria
Description: partial 16S ribosomal RNA
Rfam family: Bacterial small subunit ribosomal RNA
Source: RNAcentral
UACGAAGGGGGCAAGCGUUGUUCGGAAUUACUGGGCGUAAAGGGCGCGGAGGCGGCUUAUCAAGUCAGGCGUGAAAUUCCCGGGCUCAACCUGGGGGCUGCGCUUGAUACUGAUGAGCUUGAAUGCGGGAGAGGAUAGUGGAAUUCCCAGUGUAGAGGUGAAAUUCGUAGAUAUUGGGAAGAACACCGGGGGCGAAGGUGGCUAUCGGGCGCGUAAUUGACGAUGAGGCGCGAAAGCGUGGGGAGCAAACAGG